GAAGAACACGAGUGUCACAGCAAUGCCAGUAAUGACUCAGGCCAUAUCCUGCUGGUCGUAGUAGUUCUCCGUCUCCCCAGAGAGGCUGCUAUUAAAUGACAUAUCAUUGCAGUGGCCAACGAACCAUUUAGAAGGAAGCACUUUACUUUGAAGAAGAUAUCUGAGGGUUUUCAAGUUGAAUGUGAAACUGUGGCCCCCAGUUCUGUACCCAAGACACCGUGUCCCUUUCCUUAAAAUGGACAUCACCUUCUAUUUCCUCACCUGAUUCAAACAGGAUUCUAGAAGACCUGAUGACUGUGUUUCCACAGGCAAGAAGACUCUGAAAACAGCCAAGCCGCACCACUGUGUUUUAGAAGAUACUACAAAAAAACCAACCUUCAUGACAACGUCCUAGAGGCAGAGCUCCAGACAUUGCUGGAAGCAGAGAUGGACAAGAUGUUACCCAUACUGGUUUGGGACCCAUGACCCAUUUACCCCAAGGAGAAAUUAUCCAUGUGCCAGGCUGGCUUAGCACCCAGACCCUCAAACAAACAUUCCACCAUCCUGCUUGAGGAGUAAGCUUUUACACGAACUGUCCUCAGCACCAUUUGGAAAUGUCUUUGUCUUACUGGUGAAAAACUGGCCUAAGGAUUUUAAUACUGAAGUUCACAGUUAAGCGGACAAGGGGCUGGACACUUCCCUUGAAAUUUUCUACAUGGAACAACCCUUUUCUACCCCAUCUCCAGUUUACUUCAUGUUUUCCUAUGCUCACCUUCCUUUGUGUACUGAGGCACAGAGUCCACUUCUGAUGGGUGUGAGAAGCUAAAAGAAAUUCAAAUAAUACAUAUUUGGUCAACUUGAUGCAAAAUACCGGAUGUGAUAGUGGUUAUGGCCAUCGCCGAAGAGUAGAACAUGGAACCAAUCCACGGAAUUGGAGAGAUGCAGUAAAUGCAUUUGCAGAGCUGUUACCUCUGCCCCGCCUGCUCCCCCACUCACUGAGAGGGCAGAUGAAGACACUUUCUCCCCUGUCUCUGGCUGCGGACGGUCCAGGCACUGCCACCUCAGUGCUCCCUCCUCAGGUACCAACCUCUUCGCUGCAUGGUUUCAAAAGGCAGAUAAGCCAAUGGCCCUAGACCUGCCUUCCAGAAGAGAUCGGAGUGAGCCCCAUGUUUAUCCGAAGGAGUGCUGAAUAGUCAAGUAUCAGGUGAUUUGAGCCCCCCUAGAAUUUGCUAAUGAAAUAAAGCCUUUUUUCUUCUAAACAAAAUUACUUUUAGGUAAAUGAAUAUGUUGACACCUCAAAUAAGGUGUGCUCUGCCACAUGAGAAAAAACAAGUGUUUUUAUCCUUGUAAUUAUCCAUUUUGAUCACUCUUUCUAUUCAAGGAAUCGCUUCUAAAACUGAAUGCAUGUGAAACAUACAAAAGAACAAUUAGAUAAAGAAAAUCCUUUAAUAUAAAAAAGUUGCAAGAUUAAAG
RNAcentral lists this long non-coding RNA (1452 nucleotides) under Ailuropoda melanoleuca (giant panda). RNAcentral describes it as "lncRNA (ENSAMEG00000028526.1)". Lineage: Eukaryota; Metazoa; Chordata; Mammalia; Carnivora; Ursidae. The record is from RNAcentral.